CAGUAGCCACGGGAAUACGUAGGGCGCAAGCGUUGUCCGGAAUUAUUGGGCGUAAAGAGCUCGUAGGCGGUCUGUCGCGUCUGGUGUGAAAUCCCGAGGCUCAACCUCGGGCUUGCAUCGGGUACGGGCAGACUAGAGUGCGGUAGGGGAGACUGGAAUUCCUGGUGUAGCGGUGGAAUGCGCAGAUAUCAGGAGGAACACCGAUGGCGAAGGCAGGUCUCUGGGCCGCAACUGACGCUGAGGAGCGAAAGCAUGGGGAGCGAACAGGAUUAGAUACCCGUGUAGUCCCUGUCUCUUAUAU
Molecule: ribosomal RNA, 301 nt
Filed under: uncultured bacterium
Lineage: Bacteria
Description: partial 16S ribosomal RNA
Rfam family: Bacterial small subunit ribosomal RNA
Source: RNAcentral